RNAcentral lists this ribosomal RNA (643 nucleotides) under uncultured bacterium. Its description in RNAcentral is "bacterial SSU rRNA". It matches the Rfam family "Bacterial small subunit ribosomal RNA", at positions 97 to 726 of the family's 1533-position model. The record is from RNAcentral.
GGCGGACGGGUGAGUAACACGUGGGCAACCUGCCUGUAAGACUGGGAUAACCCCGGGAAACCGGAGCUAAUACCGGAUAAUUUGGGUCACCGCAUGGUGACCGAAUGAAAGAUGGUUUCGGCCAUCGCUUACAGAGGGGCCCGCGGCGCAUUAUCUAGUUGGUAAGGUAAUGGGUUACCAAGGCAUCAAUGCGUAGCCGACCUGAGAGGGUGAUCGGCCACACUGGGACUGAGACACGGCCCAGACUCCUACGGGAGGCAGCAGUAGGGAAUCUUCCGCAAUGGACGAAAGUCUGACGGAGCAACGCCGCGUGAGUGAGGAAGGUUUUCGGAUCUUAAAGCUCUGUUGUUGGUGAAGAACCCUCCUGUGAGGAAAUGCACAGGAGUUGACGGUAGCCAACCAGAAAGCCCCGGCUAACUACGUGCCAGCAGCCGCGGUAAUACGUAGGGGGCAAGCGUUGUCCGGAAUGAUUGGGGGUAAAGCGCGCGCAGGCGGCUUCUUAAGUCUGAUGUGAAAGCCCACGGCUCAUCCGUGGAGGGUCAUUGUAAACUGGGGAGCUUGAGUACAGGAGAGGAGAGUGGAAUUCCACGUGUAGCGGUGAAAUGCGUAGAGAUGUGGAGGAACACCAGUGGCGAAGGCGGCU